GCGACUGUAGUAUAGUGGUAGAAUGCGACCCUCCCAAGGUCGUGACCCGGGUUCGAAAUCCAAUAGUUUGAUUGACGAAAGUCCCGGCAGUCGCA
Molecule: transfer RNA, 95 nt
Filed under: Candidatus Woesearchaeota archaeon
Lineage: Archaea; Nanobdellati; Candidatus Woesearchaeota
Description: tRNA-Gly
Rfam family: tRNA
About the family: Transfer RNA (tRNA) molecules are approximately 80 nucleotides in length.
Source: RNAcentral